Non-coding RNA from Marmota flaviventris (yellow-bellied marmot), 747 nucleotides. The record is from RefSeq and is a predicted model, not a curated record. Lineage: Eukaryota; Metazoa; Chordata; Mammalia; Rodentia; Sciuridae.
AGGGGCUCGCGUGGGAGCCUCGUGGGCCCCUGGCUCGGGUGGGAGGUGGUCAGUGGCGCCCCCUGCAGGUGGGCGGUGGUCAGGGCGCCCCCUGCAGGUGGGUGGUGGUUAGGGGCCCCCUGCAAGUGGGUAGUGGUCAGGGCGCCCCCUGCAGGUGGGAGGUGGUCAGGGGGCCCCCUGCAAGUGGGUAGUGGUCAGGGCGCCCCCUGCAGGUGGGUGGUGGUCAGGGGACCCCUGCACGUUGGAGGUGGUCAGGGGCGCCCCCUGCAGGUGGGUAGUGGUCAGGGCGCCCCCUGCAGGUGGGUGGUGGUCACGGGCGUCUCCUGCAGGUGGGUGGAGGUUAGCGGUGCCCCCUGCAGGUGGGUAGUGGUCAGGGGCGCCCCUGCAGGUGGGUGGUGGCUAGGGGCUCCCCCUGCAGGUGGGUGGUGGUUAGGGGACCCCUGCAGGUGGGUGGUGAUUAGGGGGCCCCCUGCAGGUGGGUGGUGGUCAGGGGCGCCCCCUGCAGGUGGGAGAUGGUCAGGGGCAUCCCCUGCAGGUGGGCGGUGUUUAGGGGCGCCCCCUGCAGCCCAGAACCCCGGCUUCUUGGUGGACCUAAUCCUGAGCAAGGAACCGAGGGGUGGGCUUUGAGGGAAGACCCAGCAGACCUCCUGUCCGGGUUCCCCAGGAGGAGGCAGAGGGGCGUCCCGGGUGCAGGGAGGGGCGGGCCCCAGGGAGGCCCCAGGACAGGGGACUUCAGUUGCCACCUUC